UACGUAGGUGGCAAGCGUUGUCCGGAUUUACUGGGCGUAAAGAGCGCGCAGGCGGUCGUUCAAGUCGCGUGUGAAAGCCCCCGGCUCAACUGGGGAGGGUCACGCGAUACUGAUCGACUCGAAGGCAGGAGAGGGUAGUGGAAUUCCCGGUGUAGUGGUGAAAUGCGUAGAUAUCAUGAGGAAUACCAGAGGCGAAGGCGGCUACCUGGACAAUUGCUGACGCUCAGGCACGAAAGCGUGGGGAGCAAAAGGG
This 253-nucleotide ribosomal RNA is filed under the name uncultured bacterium. RNAcentral's name for it is "partial 16S ribosomal RNA". It matches the Rfam family "Bacterial small subunit ribosomal RNA", at positions 524 to 776 of the family's 1533-position model. The record is from RNAcentral.